GGGGAGCGAAGCAGAUUAGAGACCUGCGUAGUCCUAGCCGUAAACGCAUGCUUGCUAGCUGCAUGAAUCUACCUUCGGGUGGUAUCGUGUGGCGAAGGUAACCCGUUAAGCAAGCCGCCUGGAAAGUACGGCCGCAAGGCUGAAAUUCAAAGGAAUUGGCGGGGAGGCACACAACCAGUGGAACAUGUGGUUUAAUUCGAGACUAACCGAAGAACCUCACCAGGGUUUGACAUGUAGCUGCACGUCUUAAGAAAUUAAGACUCUCUUGAAGGUGCUACACAGGUGCUGCAUGGCUGUCGUCAGCUCGUUCCGUGAGGAGUGCCCUUAAGUGGGACAACGAGCGCAACCCCUAUUACAUGUUAGAAAUGUCAUGUAAGACUGCCUUGCCAUUUGGCGGGGAGGAAGGAGGGGCAGACGUCAAGUCCGCAUGGUCCUUAUGCCCUGGGCUACACACAUGUUACAAUGAGUACGGCAAUGAGUCUGUCGCGAGCACGUAAGUGUAAGCUAAUCUCUUAAAUGUACUCUCAGUGGGGAUUGAGGUCUGCAGCUCGACCUCAUGAACACGGAAUUGGUAGUAAUCGCGGGUCAGCUAUACCGCGGUGAUACGUUCUUGCCUCUUGCACACACCGCCCGUCAAACCAGCAAAGUCGAUUGUAUCCGAACAUC
This 666-nucleotide ribosomal RNA is filed under the name uncultured organism. RNAcentral's name for it is "bacterial SSU rRNA". It matches the Rfam family "Bacterial small subunit ribosomal RNA", at positions 763 to 1429 of the family's 1533-position model. The record is from RNAcentral.